GGGCGGGGGCUGCUUGAGGAAGUCAAAGGCGCCCUCCCGCUGGACCCACGAGGGUGUCGCUGUCCUCAGUCAACAAAUCGCUCAAGUCGGGGCACAAGACAGAGAAGCCAGGUCACGUCUCUGCAGUUACACAGCUCACGAGUGCCUGCUGGGGUGGAACCUGGUCUGUCUGUCUGUCUAGCACCACAGCUCGGGCGCUGCUGCAGAGGGAAGAAAGAUUUGGGGAGAGGGGCUCAGAGACGGGCUGGGGGUGGGGUCUCCCUGGCUGAUUUUGGCCUGAAAAGGAUAGCUCCUUCGGCUUAGGGACUAGGGCUGGGACUGGGUGACAGGUGGGGAAACAGGCACAGAGAGGGCAGUGCCCAUUCCUGAUGUGGUCUGGAGUGGAGCCUGGGCAGGGUGGUACCACGUGGGUGCUUUAGUCUGUGGGCCACAGAGCCUCGAGACAGAGCACAGAGAGGGAUGGCACGGGGACCCAAGGACCGGGACUGGGAGUCCUUUUACCACCUCCUAGUGGGUGCUCUUAAGUCCAUCGUACGUGUUUCAUGUUCCCCGCGACCGGGGCCCUGCAGAGGCCCAGCCGCCGCUGGACUGCAGGAAGUAUUUAUGAGCACAUCUGUGUGCUGCAAUUGUGUGUCUCUAACGGGGGAGGGGGAGGAGGGGAUUUGGUGGUGAUUAUUUAAGGUAGAGGGCAGCAAGGGGAUGGGGGCAGAAGAAGUGCGGCUCCCGCACGGUUACUGUGCUGCUUGUAUAGGAGAGAGGCACGCCCGCCUCAGGGAUGAGAGCGGGUCGGGACCAGAGGCCUGUGGGUGAUUCUCGGUAUCCGCGGGAAGGGAGCAAAGGGAUCCGAGUGGUUUGCGGUCCUUCAUGGUUUUAUUACACAUCGUAGGAGAAUAAAGAAGUUGUAAUGAUGGCCUUGAGUAGAGCAAUUGUGAGACUGUGCUGGACAAAAGACAGUGAUUAAUCCAGGUCCGCUAACCCAACAUCCGCACACAAAAAGCUCUGGGCUAUUUGCUUCCCUUUAAGGGGGCUUUGUGUUCCCUAGAAUGGGCACACUGGGGUUUCUCCUCUGGAGAAGAUCCCCGCUGUGGGGAAGGAAACUGAAGUCCGGCACAAGCCGGGACUGCUGGGCGUCCCCUGUGUAGUUAACAACGAGUAUGGACGCACCGAGGAAGUGAGAGCGCCAACACGCGCCAAUGCGGAGAGCGUGUCUAUGGACAGGUGUUAGGAGCGAUCUGGCUCUACCCAAAGUAGUUGUUAAAAAUAGUGAAACAGACACCCAACUGUGGGUGUGGGUAGGAAGCAUAGCCCCAGGUGUAUUUAAGAAAAGAAAAGUAAAAGGAGUUCCCUGGCGGCUCAGGGGGUGAAGGAUCUGGUGUCGUCAUUGAUGUGGCUCAGGUCACUGCUGUGGUAUGGGUUCAAGGCCUGGCCCUGGAAUUUACAUAUAUACAUGUCAUGGGAAUGGCCAACAAAAAACCAAAAAAGCCCAGAUGUGUGGAACAGUCAUUGGUCCUGGGCUGAAUGGUGCCUUCGUGUGUAUCUGCCUAUGGUCGGAAAUGAAUUAGACGCGUAAAUAAAAUACAGGACGAAAUCAGAGCAGACCAAGUGGGAACCAUCCAAGAUAAGGUUUUACGAAUUACAGAGUAAGAUGAACACGCUUAUGUAGAAUCGUGGACUGUUUAGAGCAACAAAACCAAAGUUCUCACCUCUGGGAAUAAGAAGCAUCGUUUUAUUGUGUGUUGGAGCUGAGUUCAUGUGUGUUCCCUGUAUUUAAAAAAAAAAAAGUAAAAACGAGAAAAGGGACAAGUAGGAAACAAAGAGGAGAUUACAUCUGGAAUCAAAGCUAAUUAUGGCUUCAGUUCUGAGCCCAUUAGGAAAAAGAUCUGGGCUGGUCCUUCUGUGAGGAGAGCAGCAGAGAGACAGAUGCUUGUCAUGGUCAUUAGUCUUGUUUCUGAUUAGGGUGGUGAAUUCAUGCAUGUUGAUUGUAAUAAAUAACAUGAUUAAACGAAAAAAUAUGCCCAGUGAGCGCUGUGCCUGGGCCGGCAGUGAGUCUGUGUCUUGAAGCAAAGGUUGUGAUUUAUCCUGGGUUGCGCAGCCGUUGGCUGUUAGCAAACAUCUAGGUUGAUUCAUCCUUUUUAACAUCUGCCUUGUGUCCCACAGAACGGAGGCCCCAGAGUGGGUCCCCUGACAUGCCGCUGGUGAAGACCGUGGCCGUGACCUCUGUGGGAAACGAGCCAUGGACCAACCAACGUUAUUACAGAAUAUUGAGUCGAUCUCCUUGUGCUAUACAGAAAGAUUCAAAAAGGACCAAGAAUGGCGAUGGGGAGUGUGGAGUUGCAUGAAGACUAUUGGCUGAUCCUUGUGCCACCAGCGAGGUCCCCUGUAGAAAGAUUCUAUUAGGUCUGAGAGAAAUGAACAAAAAUCACAGAUUCAACAUACCCAAUCUGAUUGAUUCAGUGAUGAAGCUGUCAGCUGUCAGUAUCCGUGGAUACACAGCCAAGGGACUCACGUAAGGAACAGAUUUUGUGUUCUUGGUUUGGAGGUAGGUGAUUCAUGUGGUCCCUGGGAUUGUUUCAAAGGAACGAGUGGCUACUGCAACCGUAAAGUCAGAGGAGGCCUCCUGUGGAUCAUUAAUGAAAAUGUGAAAUGAACCACCGGUUGGGAUUAAUCCCUUUCAGUGCAACCGAGAUCCAUUCAAACCCCAUCGGAGGGUUUUACAUUCAUUUUCACAGUUGCUUAAUAUUCUGUUGCAUUUUUGCACCGCAUUUUAAGAGUAUUUCUCUAUUGAUAACAAUAACUCAUUGAGGAAGGAGCACCCGGGAAGAGAGACAGUGCUUUAGUGUUCUAGUUAUGGGGGUAAAUGGUAGGUUCGUUAUACUAUUUUUAAAAUACAAAGAAAUUCAAUGAAAGAUGAGCAAGCAGACAGUCGUAAAAUACAUGGCCCAUGUACGAAGCAAGGUUAUUGAUUAAUCUAUAUGUGAAACACUGAGAUCCAAUUAAACAGAGAUCUCAUUUGCUAGCUCUAUGGGAAAUAAAUGGUUGUCACCUGCUCUCUGCAAUAUUCAAAGAUCUUGCUCUUGGGUUUUUGUGAUUCAUGGAAAUUAAAUUUUUUUUAACAUCAGUGAAGCCAUGAAUGAAAGAAUCAAUAAAUAAUGUACAAACAAUCCCUAAACAAUGUAUAAAUAAGUACACGGAGAAAGAAUGUGGAGCUUGGAUCAAUGAUGAGAGUUCUGGGGUAUAUGAAUCAAGAACUUUGAUUAAACCCUAACUCUGAGAUCCAAUAGAAGGAGACUUUGUUCUUCCCUCUAAGGGAACAGAGUUCAGAGGAGAAGUUCAAGCCAGUUGGGGAGCUGUUGUUGGGUCUCUGUGGGUCCUGAGUAUGGAGUGUGUUGAUGCACGUGAAUGAACAUGUGUGUAAGUGAGUGAAGACAGCAAGGGUCGCACAUGAGUGAUUUAGGCGAGUGUCGUGAAACAAGUAUUCUUAGUCACAUGUUUACUUAGCACAGAGUUCCCGUGUGAUCGUGGGUCAAAGCUGUUACCCCCUUUGAAACACAGUAGCAACUCCAGAUACACAGGAGCGCACAGGCAGGUGCGACUUAGUGUCCAGGUUGGCAUGCUGGGCCGGUGGGAGCGUAUGUUGAUUCUCAGGUAAUUAUUUAUUGUUAUAAGGUAUAGGAUGAAGAUGAUUUUUAUCUCAAAUGAUUCUGAAAAAGAGGGCAGACGCUGAAGAGUAUGGCGCCUAUGAGGUGGAGGAAGAUUAAUGACUGAUCCUGUUCCACCCUCCUGAGGGCCAUAUAACAAGAUGGGACCUAGUUUCUCCCUGCUUCGAUUAAGUACAUGGAGAUAUGCCAGAAUGACCCCAGGACAGCACAUUUACUCAUUUUCUAAGGAACAAAAUCUUAGCAGUUAGCUCUGUGGCUUAAGAACAGAGAGAAAUUUAAUGCAAACACAGCAAGCUGAUCUGAUCCUUCUCUGACUGGGAAGACCCUGACUAUUCUGGGACUUAGGAGAUUAAAGGCCAAGGUGAGGAAGCAUCAGUGUUGGUGUUAUUACACCUGCUUUACCAUAAGGACAAAUCAGGCAAAAGGCAGAAGAGCAGGUGGACGCUAAUGAGUGAACAGAGAAUGGCUGAUUUAAUCAUUUAAUAAAGAAUUGCUAUCAUGAGCGAGCAGCAUAAAGUCUAAUAUAAAGUGAAGACACUGUCGCAUUUGGUCGUUAGCCUGUGAUGGAGACCUUGACCUUUGCCUCUCCGGAUAAAGAGAGAAGCGCUCGCGUAAGUACUCAUGAAAGUCCAGGUUCUCACCUGGGGGGUUGGUCAUGGGAAUUCGCUGGGAUGGUUCAAGGAAUAAAUGGCUGCGUAGGCAAAUAACUCCAAGGUGGCCAUGCCUUGACCGAUGCUUAAAAUGUGUUAGGAGUUCAGAAUUGUGAUUAAUCCAUUUCAGCACAUGCCUACGUUUGUUAGAAUGAGCAGAUGAAGGGCAUGUCCGUCCUUCUCAGAAAACGUUAAUAUUCCUUUUAAUUUCUUUUAGCGCAGUAGAUUUAAGCACGUCGCCCUCGAUGUUGUUAGAGGCGAUGAAGCCCUUGAGGAGGAGAACAUAGGAAAAUAGACAGCUUCGCCUUUUUCUUAGUUGAGGUAUAAAACGGAAGUUCAUUAUACUGUUUUAAAAAUAGGGACCUUCCCAUCGUGGCUCAGCGAUAGCGAACCUGUCUAGUGUCCAUGAGGAUGUGGGUUCGACCCUGGCCUCGCUCGGUGGGUUAAGGCUCUGGCAUUGCCGUGAGCUGUGGUGCAGGUCACAGACACAGCAUGGAUCCCACAUUCUCGUGGCUGGGGCGUAGGCAGGCAGCUGCAGCUCCAAUUCGACCCCUACCGAGUCUGUGAACUUCCAUAUGCCACGGGUGCUGCCCUAAAAAGCAAAAAAAAAAAAAAGAAUAUUAAAUGAAAGAGGCCAGAGUAUUCAUGGAUGAAUGACUAGUAUGGAACUGAUAUGAUGCAAAGAAAUGGAUUAAUUCAUAUUCGCAGUGCUGGGGUGCAUUGUCCAAAGAGAGCUACUUCUCUAGCUCUGUAAGGAGUGAACUUUCCCCGACAUGUCCGUAAUCUUCAAGGAUCCUUGGCUUUAUUUUCCUAAUUCGUGGUCGUGGAUUGUGUUAUUAGUAAUGCCUCAAGGAUAAGUCAAGAACCACAUAUCAAACAAAGGCACAGAGUACCAAGUCUGGAUCGAUGAUGAGUAUGCGUGGGGCAUCUGAAUAAUAUUUUGAUUAAACCCCGUCUGUAACUCUGAGGUCCUUUGCAUCUUUGGGAAAUGUGCUUACAGAGGAAGUCAGAAAUAUUCAAGGACUGUGUUCUUGACCUUUCGUUGCUCAUGAAUAUGGAUUGUGUUAUUAUAAGUAAAUCAAUGCAUGAAUAAAUCACGGAUAAAGAGGAGGGCUACACCUCACCCAAUUAUGAAAGGAGCUAAUGAGCCAAGAAUUACUGUUAAUAUAUUUCUGAAAAUUGGAGUUCAAUAAAAGAGACUGAGGCUGCUCCUCCUUUGGGAGCGUCUGGAUAUGCACGUGUGAACCUCAGUGCGGUUCUCAGUGGGUGGUGAGUUUCUGGUUGUGUGUCUCGUUUCAAAAAUAUUUAUAUAAUUGCAUAGUAAUAACACUUAAUAUAAUAAAUGUAUCCAAUAAUAAUGUAACACAUCAUGAGAAACACAUGCGUGUAAGACAUUUUAAGAAAUAGUAAUUUAAUGUAGUCAAUAAUGGACAAUAAAAUAAUUAGACGAUUUGAUGUUGAACCAUGGAAAAGGUCUAAGCAAGAGAUUGGUGAAUAUAAUAAUUAUGAAUUCUCUUGUAUUCAUCGAUGUUAUUUUUAAAAAAGCAAAUGCGUUUCUUUGAUGAUUUUUGUGAGUAGUAAGCAAAUGAAUAGAGGGAGGGCCUCAGCAUUUUCAUCAAGUGUCCUUAGGUUUCACCAAUAUUAGUGCUAUUAUUUUAACUGAGUACAAGAAUAAUUUCAUAUCUCAAUCUGUUAUUUAAUAAAUCGUGGGCCACUGAGGAGCAUACCUAACAUGUGAAAGGGUAGGAUUAAUCCUGUUUUGAGGUCCACUAAAUAAAGAUCCAGGCCCCUCCUUCCUUAGGGAGGGAUUAUAUAGAGCCCUCUCACUAAACACAUCUUGCUGUUAACAUUUAACGUCUAAUGGUCCAAAAUAAAAAUUUAAUUCCUCAGUAGCACUAGCCACAUUUUGAGCCCGUGGCUAAUAGAGGAUAUUUCCAUCACUGCAGCAAAUCCCAUCCGCGAGGGAAGUUGCACAUGAUCAUAGUUAGAUUUGAGUAGCAGGUGGCUCCACGAGUUUGUGUUUUCUUUAGAGAGUAGAUAACUAUAAUGUAUAAUGGAAUAAUACCAAAUCAGUGAAUAAAUAAACAAAUCAAUAUAUGCAUAUUUCAAGUAUACGGCAUCAACCAUGGGUCAGAUUGUUUUGUGAAACAGGCAUUUAGAUUCAUAAAGUUCCUUUGUGGCUCCCCCACCCCACCCCCCGCAAAAAAGAAAAGAAUUUAAAUUCAUCAUAUUUUGCAAAAGUUUUCUCCAUUAAAAACUGGCCUUUUUGCUUUUUUGUAGGAAUAUAUAGACAAAUGAAAACAAUAGGUCUAGUUCUUCUCAUAUUGGGUGACGGAUUAAGUGGUCUUCAUUAAAAACAUUUAAAAAACCUUCAUUAUUUUAUUUCACACUAAAAAUUAAGUCAGUAGUGGAAAAAGAUACCACUGUUGGACUGAUGCUGAAAAUGUGACACUAACCAAUGUUUAUGAUGAACUUAGUAGUGCAGAACUAAGUUCUAUUAAAAAAAAUCUAAAUUCACACUUUUCAUUUUUGUAAAAACACCCGCGUUUUCCUGCCGAAUGAACACCCCACGCUGGAUUCCGUCCGUGUCCAGUGGUGACGAUGGUGGCCAUGGCUUCCGUGGGUAAAUCGAGGAACAAAAAGGAUGCUGUUCUUGGGUCAGUGAUGACAGUGAGACUUGACUCGACUUCAUGAUUAACCUAGCACCUCCAACUGAUGUCCUUUAAGUCAGUCUGGACCCUUUGUCCUUCUGAACGUUGCUCCACAGAAUGAAGGUCACGGCUGAUUGCAUCCGUCUGUUCUGAGGAAGAUCUUGGCUGUUACCUUUCUGGGUAAGAAACCCAACAACUAAAGUAAAAUAAUAGUAGUCAAAAGAUCUUGUCACGAGAUCUUGGGGUGGGUUUUUCGCUAGCGUCCUUUGAAUUAUUUCGACUACGCCAUCCAUAGGCCCAUGAUGUGAGUGUGUUGUGAAACAAAGCUUAUAGUUUAAUCCAGUGGGGUGCGAUUCUGGUUAAAAAUAGGAUGGAAUACAUCUUAUUCAUUUUCAAAGCGGAUUAAUAAUCCAUCUUAUUUUUGUGCUGCAUUUGAUUUAAACUCUCAUCUGGUAACAAAACCUAGGGCCACACUGUCCACUGUGGUUGGUUGUCUCUAGUAGCCACCUGUGGCUGUUUAAAUUCAGCUCCUCAGUUGCACUCUCCACAUUUCAGGUUCUUCGGAGCUGUGUGUGGCAAUGUGAUUGCACUGGGGGGGCAUGGUCCUAGCACAUUCAUGUCGUCAUGCCCUGUCCUAUGGGACAGCUCCUUGUCCUGUGGGAAGAUGGAAGAGAGUUGGAGGAGGAUGCGUGAAGCAAGGAUGCUCGUUGAUCCAUAGACACCUCAGUGAGGGCCACUACAAAAAGGGACCGUAUCUAUUGAGAAAAGAUCUAGUUUAUGGGAAGAGAGCCUAUACAGGUCUUGGUUACAUCCAAGGGUCUUGUUCUUGGCUCUUCAAAAAUUCCUGGGUGUUGAUGUAACCAUCCGUCAUGGAUCAACGAAUGGGUCAAUAAACAAAGGUAUAAAUGAAGGAAAAGAUUGCUUAGCCCGGAUCGAUGAUGAGUACCCUGGGGUGUCUGAAGUCGAGGACUUUGAUUAAACCCUAUAACUCUGAGGUCCGUUACAGAAGAUUCAUCCUUCUUUGCUAUUCCUAUGGUAAUAAGCUUUUUGUAAGAGUUAAAAAUUUUCAAGUUUGCUCUUGUGCUUGGGUUUCUGAAUAUCGUAUUUUCAAUGCACAAAUAAAUCAAGGAAGUAUAAAUGAAUAAGGACAAAAUGGUUUAUUCCUGGUCCAAAUAUGGGAGAAUGUAAUGUAAUAUACAUAAUAUAAAAAUCAUUAUUAAUAUAUUUCUGAAGCACUGGGUUCCAGUAAAAUAAAUUUAUUAAAGCCGACCAUUUUGGGUAAAGAGCAUUUAGAUAAAUGGAUGUGAGAGCACCUGUUGUUUUUCUGGGUUAGGUUCUUGGAUUUUUGUUUUAUUAAGAGUAGGGUAAAACGUUUACUUAAAUUAACUAUUGAUUAAAUAACUACGUAAUUGAGAGAGGACUUAUGCAGAGAUAUGUGUUAAGGAUCUGUCGCAUGGUCGGUUAUGAUUAACCCAAUGGAUUUUCACUAUUUUUAAUGAAAAAAACAACCAAGAAAAAAAUGUGAUCUUUUUUCUGUGCUUGAUGGGCCACAUGGACAGGGAUUAAUAUUGUCCUGUUUCUGUGGAGUCACAGAUAUUAAUGAUAUGGAUAUACAUAUGUAUACAAGAAUAAGUUAAUAGUUUAAUCAGUUACUUGAAAGAAGGCAAUGUAUGGACCAAUGAGGACCAUGUGUUCUGGAACAAGGAGAGUGAUGAAUCCACAUCUAUGUACUUGUUCUCCAGAUAAAGAGACGAGAUCGAGGCUCUUAAUUUUUGAAAUGGUCAAUAUAUUUAGGUAGGAUUUCUCUUCCUGGCUUGUUGGUCCAAUUGCUGUAAAAAAUGGAAGAUAAAGUGACUCCGUGUGUAACGAUAUCCCUGCCUACAUGCUUACAUGUAUAAAGAUGGGACAAGCAUGGACAAUGGCUGAUGGAGAUAUACUCGAAUCCAAGAUUCAGAUGAACCUGAUUCUUUCCAGGAAAAGAUUCAUCUAGCAAGAAGUUAGAGCUCUCACCUGACCAGAUGGGGAUGUAUAAAUAUGUGUAGUGGCCAUAGUUCUUAUUCUUUUGUUUGGUGUUGGUUUCAAAGUUGUUGAUUAUAUUCAUUAAAUUAAAUUUUUGAUUCAGCGAACAAAUAUGCCAUUCAGAGUUUUAAUAUACAACAAGCACUAAAAUUUAUUCAUAGUCCAUUGUUGACUUAAAACUCCACUAGAAAAAAUCUGAAUCUAGGCUGUCCUAUCUCCCUAUCUAUCUAUCUAUCUAUCUAUCUAUCUAUCUGAGAUAAUCUGUCUCUUUUAAUAUUUGUUUUGUACUCUGCAGAAUGGAUGUGCAAUGAUUCAAUUAAAGACUAUAGAACUUACGUAAGUAAUAGUCAAAGUAAUUGCUUCUGGUUUGGUGGUUUGUCAUGGAUGUUAACUCUGUUAUUGGAAGGGAAUAAAUGGCUACAUGUACAAAUUAAAUAAAUGGAGGUCGUGUGUGGGCCAGCUUAGCACAUCUGUGGUCAAUUGAGGAGAAAAAAGAAAGACUAUUUUAUUCGUUUUCAUGGUUAAUUACUCAAUUAAUGAAUUAAUGUAUAAUGUAUUAUUCAAUUUAAUAUGAGUCACAGUUGAUUUGAACCCUCCUUGUUAAAGACACAAUUUUGUCACCUUCCAACAGUAAAAUGGGCUUAAUAUGAAGUAUUAUAUUAAUUAAUCUAUGUAGGAGACAUUGUGGCCAGUUCAUGAAACACACAUAUUGUCUGUGGAAAGUAAUUCUAUGGAGAAAUGUUAGAGAUAUUCAAAGGUCUUGUUUCAAGAUUUUAUGACCUCUAGGUCUUCAUUUUAUCUUUGUUAGUGAAGUAAUGAUUUAGUAAAGACACAGCCAUGAUUGGAGAUGAUGAAGGCCAGCCCUGGACCAAUGAUGAUGACUGGUGGAGUAUGAGUCAUGAACGAUGAAUACUUGUCUGGAACUCUGAGGUCCAGCCCGAUAAGCCACCUGGUCUGCAACAUCUCUGAGAAGUUAUUCUACGGGUAGAUGUCAGGGAUCUCGAGGAUCCUCUUUUCAGUUUUUGUGUUUAUGGAAUUUGAGUGCAUUGUUAGAAGUGCAUCAGUGAAAGCACCAAGCAAUAAACACAGUUGACCCUUGCACCAUUUUGUUGGGUAACCUCAGGGGUUCAAAAAUCCUUUCAUGGCUGUCUCUGCUUCAGAAGCCAAGAAACUGACAAACGACGCACCCAAGGUCAGGACUCUGAACCAGUUUGGUUAGAAUCAGGAUUGAAACCCUGUUUCUUUUGAUCCACAUAUUAUGAACUCUUAAUCAAACACAAACUUUUCUCCACAGUUAGCUAAUUUUUACAAACAAUUUAUUGGAGCAUAGUAGACUUACAAAGUUGUGUUAGUUUCUGGUGUACAGCAACGUAAAUCAGCUAUAUGUGUGUAUAUAUAUAUCCAUUCCUUUUCAGAUUUUCAUUUUCCCAUAUAGGUUAUUACACAGUAUUCAGUGAUUUCCCUGUGCUAUACAGUGGGUCCUUGUUAACCUAUCUAUUAUAUGUAGUCACAUUUAUUAAUUUAAAGAUCUCGAAAAUGAAAAUACAGGUACUAUAUUUACUGUAUAAAUGGACCCAUAAAGUUCAAACCUGUGUUGUUCAAGGGUCAACUGUAUACAAAUAAAGAGGGCGAAGCAUUGUCUAAUUAUGAAAAUAUGUUAAUGGAAAUACUAUUAAUAUAUAUUAAAGACACUGAAGGCCAUUAAGAGAGAAAUGUUAUAAAGGUAUUACCUCUUUGGCUGAGGAUGAUAUUUACAAUGUGAAUAACAGUCCCUGUUUUUGUUUGGUCAAGGUCUUGUUCAUUGUUGUUUGUUUUCUCAAGAAAGAAAAAUACCACCAUUUAAUACAUGCUUAGAUGACUAACAAAAUGCAAAGUGGAAUGCAAGGAUAAAUGGAAGGAAUAUUUCAAUCUUCUUCUCAUUUGUUCUGCUUUGUGCUCCUAGAGUGGGUGCUCCAGGUCAAUGUAAGCAUCUUCAAGAGUCCUGCUCUCUCUGGCCGCCUCAACGUGUCCGGAACAUGGAGACUGAUAAUGGAUAUACUGGCACCUGUCUGAGCUUUUGGUUGUGGUCAGACGCUCCCUGGAUGACUUCCUGUGUAAGAGCAUGGAGAGCAGUUUAGCAGAUGUGGAGGAGAAUGAAGAAGAAGAGUCUGGAGCUCGGACCAAUGAUGACGACUGAUGGCGCAUGAGUCGUAUAUACGAUGAAUACUAUGUGUCUGAAACUCUGAGGUCCAGCAGAGAGAAUGUGCGAGAAAGACUGUGUAUGUGGAUGCCUGGGUCACUUUGUUGUUCAGCAGAAACUGCACAACAUGAAUCAACGCCUCAGCUGAUUUCAGCUUCUGCCACGAUCAAGACUGUCCUGUUGCCUCCGUUUUGUAAAAGACCAAGGCAAG
This is a non-coding RNA of Sus scrofa (pig), 11369 nucleotides long. NCBI's taxonomy places the organism in Eukaryota, Metazoa, Chordata, Mammalia, Artiodactyla, Suidae. The record is from RefSeq and is a predicted model, not a curated record.